This is a long non-coding RNA of Corvus hawaiiensis (hawaiian crow), 2518 nucleotides long. RefSeq lists it as uncharacterized. Lineage: Eukaryota; Metazoa; Chordata; Aves; Passeriformes; Corvidae. The transcript has 3 exons. The record is from RefSeq and is a predicted model, not a curated record.
UUCAUUGGACACUUUUCAUAAGUGCUGCUAUGUGACAAGCAAUAGGUAGAGGAAAACAAAGAAACUCCAGCUGCUAUGGAAUGUAAGAGAAAAGCUCACUUGCAACAGGAUUUAUCUGGAGCAAACUAAAAAUCAGUACUAGAACUAUUAGGUAAAUUUGAAAGAGAAAUUAAACUUUUAAAAUUGACUGUAGGAAGUUUUGAAAAGUUUUAUAUGCUGGGUAUGAGAUAGUUGUAUCCUCUCAGUCAGCAAAUAUUGACCAGGAUUUCACCUUUCUCUUCUGUCAGGCAUGAUACUCAUCUCCUUCCCACCAUGCUGUGUCAGCCGUGCCACACUACUUAUAUCCUUAGAGACAGACUUCUUUAUUCUGAUAAAUUUAUGAUAUCCAGUAGUUUCGUGAUGUGUGUGACUGGCUCUUUCCUACUUUAGGCAUAUGUUCAAUUUUCUCUUCUGGCAUCUUCAGUGUCUGGUCUGCGCUUGGUCAAGGAGUAAUUUUGUGAAUUUGCAGAAUUCUUCAUUGACAGCCAUUUGUUCCUCUUGGAUCUGUCCCCUGCUCACCUCCCAACAGAACUCCUCCUCCUUCUGCCUCUUCCCAAACCUACACCAGAGAUUUUCUGUCAAGGCUAAUGGAUUGAGUAUUCACAUCCUAUUGCUUCAAUCAUGUGCUCCCUCCGCAGCUCUGUUUCCCCCUGUAAUUCCACUUCUCUGCCAUGUAAACUCAAGUCUAAAUACAGGGGCUAAACUUCCUGGCAUUGUCCCCAUUAGUCUCAUGGUAUUGAAAACUGAUACUGAGGACCUGAAAGGAUGCAUCAGAACUGCUACUGAGGGAGUGGAUUGCUGAUGUGACAGAAACUGCUGCAUAUGAAAAGGUGAUAUAUGGAAUGGAAAGUAAGCCAGAUGAAUUUGAAGGUAUUUGUAAUCUAUUCUCCAGCUGCAUCAGAAGAGAUGUCCUGAAAUAUGAUAGAAGAUAGUGGAGAGAGGUUGAAGGGUGAAUGAAAGCUUUUGUUUCAAAAGCAGAAGAGGACUGCAAACCUUCUUUCACACAGUAAAUCCUGGCUCACUUCCUGCCCUUGGAAAAGAUUAUUUCAAUACCUGUGAACAUGUGCAUUACAAGAGACAGGCUUCCUCCUUCCUGUAUCGAAAACUGAGCUCUGAAUAUUUCUCUGGGAACCUCAAGCAUGGAGAAUUAGCACAUUGAACAAAGAAUGUCUUCCUGCCCCUGAAAGAAAAAAGGAGUUGACUGAGGUAGCACCAGUGUUACAGGCUGAGGACUAGCUCCUCAUGGCUCAGAAGCAAAAGAGAGAAAUGAAGCCAAAGCCUCCUACAGCAAAUUUUGCCCUACCUCUUUUCUCCCUUUCCAGUACCAAACUGUAUUGUCUUAAUCUGGGAAUGUGAUUUACUUGUGAAAUAUCUAGUGGGUGGCAGAGGUGGGGAGCAAUGCUGCACAAAGCUCCCCAGAGCUGCUGACCGAGGUAAAUAGUGUGUCAUAACACAUUUAUCAAAUAAUAAUGGAAACCAUAUAGAACACAUAGGAGAGGGAGGGGGAAACCCCACUCCCCACUGGGAAGUUACUGAAUAUUUCAGCCAGUUUAUAAAAGGAUGUGUACAUGUAUUUGGAAAGGGGGAGGUUUUUCUAGCUUCACCUCUGCAAAUAAAUCAUUGGCCUGGGAUGUCUGAGCAGACAAGUGAAAUGGAUGAGCACAUUAUAGAUCAAGGAGGUGGUAUUCCUGCCUUGGUUAGUUUGAGACAGACCACCCAAGCACUGUGGGACUAAGAUGAGACUGUAAGUUGUGCCUGUAGAGUUCUGAAAGGCCCAAGCUGCAGCCUCUGACAUGGCAUGAAGGUGGGGGAUAAAAUAAAAUUGGUGGUAUUUCUCAUAUAGCGGGCAUGACUUAUCUGAACUGAUGUUGUUCCUAGUAUUAUUUUUUCCUUUGGCUGGAUUGCCCCAAUAGAGAAAAUGAGAAAGAGAAAAAGUGGCAAAGGUGUAAUAGUUAUGCCUGUUUUGAAAAUAAGUUAAAGUUUAGGUCAAAUAAAAAGUAAAAAAAAUAAAAAUUUAUUGAUCUUGUAUUUGUACAUUAUUCUCUGUUUGCCUAUAGUGACUUUCAGAAUACAGAAACCAUAGUCAGAUACUCUCACAGAAAUUAAGAAUUUUGCAUCAUAACUGGUCUAUUGAAGUCAUCAAGAAUUACUUAUGGAAAAAGACACCCAUUCCACAUGAAUAGGGCUUACAGAGCAUGGAUGAGUAUUACCAAAAAAUUCCCAAAUUAAAAGAAGUCUGACAAAGAUGGUAUCCUUAUAAAUAUAUGUAUAGUUAACACUUUGGAAUUUUUGCAAGGAAGACGUAGAUAUGAGGUUUGGAAUGAUCAUCUUUAACAAGGAAACCUCUUAGAGUGAAACUGAUCACCUUUUUAUACUUAUACAUGGCAAUAGUGGUUAAAGGCUGCAGUGCACAUACAGUAUUGAAUUAGAUGAAUUUUAGGUUGUAAGGAAGCAAGGCAGGAAGCAUAGAAAAUUAUCC